Molecule: transfer RNA, 73 nt
Filed under: Canis lupus familiaris (dog)
Lineage: Eukaryota; Metazoa; Chordata; Mammalia; Carnivora; Canidae
Also listed under: 1 other name
Rfam family: tRNA
About the family: Transfer RNA (tRNA) molecules are approximately 80 nucleotides in length. Their secondary structure includes four short double-helical elements and three loops (D, anti-codon, and T loops).
Source: Rfam by way of RNAcentral
GCCUGGCUGGCUCAGUUGGAAGAGCAUGAGACUCUUGAUUUUGGGGUUGUGAGUUCAAGCCCCAUGUUGGGUG